RNAcentral lists this ribosomal RNA (1206 nucleotides) under Triticum aestivum (bread wheat). RNAcentral's name for it is "partial small subunit ribosomal RNA". The record is from RNAcentral. Lineage: Eukaryota; Viridiplantae; Streptophyta; Magnoliopsida; Poales; Poaceae.
AUGCUUCCGCUCCUCCUUAUAUCCACGCUCCCGGCCUUCACGCUGCUCCUCGUCGCGCCCGCCUCCUGCAAGCCCUGGAAGCUGGUGCGGGAGCUCGGCCUCGUCGCGCUGCUGCUGGCGCGGGAGCUGCUCCGGCACUCCGCCUCCGCCGCCGCGGGCGCGGGCAGGAAGGAGCAGCAGGGCGCCAGAAUGCCGCCGUCCAAGCCCAAGACGCCGCCGCCCGCAUUGGCGGAGGGCGACGCGGACGCGCUCCCGGUGCUCGACCUGCCGGAGCUGGCGCUGGAGCGCGUGCUGGAGGAGCUGUCCCCGGCGUCGCUCGCCGCGAUGGCGUGCGUCUGCGCGGGGCUCAGGGACCGCUGCUCCAUGGACGGCCUGUGGGCGCGCCACGUCCGGCGCAAGUGGGGCCGCGUGCUCGGCGCCGCCGCGCGCAGGGAGUGGCAGGCGGAGCUGGCCGCCAGAGCGGCCGCCGCCGCCCUCCCGCGCCCGGCCAGGCGGCGCGGCCUGGCGGACUCGCUGGCGUGCGCGUGGCCCUUCUCCUGGAUCGGGCGGCGCUGGCUCAAGGAAGACGCCGCCGCCGCCGCCCGCUCCGCACCCGCGCCGCCGGCGGACACGGUGGCCGCGUGGUACCGCGCGCUCGAGUGCGGCGACUUCUGGUUCCCCGCCCAGGUGUACAACCGCGAGCAGGACGGGCACGUCGGGUUCUUGCUCUCGUGCUACGACGCUCACCUCCGCUACGACCGGCGAACCGACACCUUCACCGCCAGGUACCCGCCCCACGGCCGGAAGCCGGCCAAGGAGGAGGAGGGCGUGCCGUGGUGCAGGGUCCGCGCGGCGCCGCUGAGCACGCCGGCGCAGGACCUCCACGCCUCGGCCUGCCUGGAGGACCUCCGCCCCGGCGACCACUUCGAGAUCCAGUGGCGGAAGAACAAGGACUUCCCCUACGGCUGGUGGUACGGCGUCGUGGGUCACCUGGAGCCGUGCAACGCCAACGAGCAUCUCUGCCGCUGCCAUGAAGAUGAUACGAUCAUGCUGGAGUUCAAGCACUACGCGGCCGGGUCGAGGUGGAGGCAGACGACGGUGAGCAGGAAAGACCACCGGGAGAAAGGGGACGAGACGGACGGCUUCUACGGCGGCAUCAGGAAGCUCCAGACCAAAGACGAGAUCUCAACGUGGCGGAGAUUCUGGCCGGUGGACGUGCUCAGCUGA